RNAcentral lists this ribosomal RNA (255 nucleotides) under uncultured bacterium. RNAcentral's name for it is "partial 16S ribosomal RNA". It matches the Rfam family "Bacterial small subunit ribosomal RNA", at positions 524 to 776 of the family's 1533-position model. The record is from RNAcentral.
UACGUAGGACCCAAGCGUUAUCCGGAGUGACUGGGCGUAAAGAGUUGCGUAGGUGGUUAGUAAAGUGAAUAGUGAAAUCUGGCGGCUCAACCGUACAGGCUAUUAUUCAAACUCACUAACUCGAGAAUGGUAGAGGUAACUGGAAUUUCUUGUGUAGGAGUGAAAUCCGUAGAUAUAAGAAGGAACACCAAUGGCGUAGGCAGGUUACUGGACCAUUUCUGACACUGAGGCACGAAAGCGUGGGGAGCGAACCGG